UAGAUGGCCCAAGGCUGAGAUGUAGUCGUCUCAUGAUUUGAGAACAUAAACAGACUAAACUAUGCAGAUUUAACCCAUUUCUCUAACUCUGAUAAGCUUAAAGCAGCUACCCCCAAAUCUUUUAAAUUCUGGGACUUGCUUUGAAAAGUAACAAAGCCCAUUCCUUUGAUAGCUGUUAGUGACAUAGUUGUAGAAAUGCAG
Molecule: long non-coding RNA, 201 nt
Filed under: Homo sapiens (human)
Lineage: Eukaryota; Metazoa; Chordata; Mammalia; Primates; Hominidae
Description: long non-coding RNA NONHSAT185177
Source: RNAcentral